GCGAUGUGUGUGCCAUGCAGUGGGGCUCUGUAAGAAGCAGCCCGGGCAACUUGGGCAGGGGCAGACCGAGCAGUGCCCACGGGUCUUUGUCCACCAGAGUCUCUGUUCAACCUCAGUGUUGCUCCGGAUGUGGAUAGGAGGAGACACUGUCUGGGCCACAGACCAGGUGCUUCCUUCAUCCUGACCACACCUGCUUCUGCCCAGGAGACGCCACAGGGGCCGUGUUCCCCGCCCGGCUCCUCUUGAGUGGUUCCCAGGCUCCUCCUCCGCCCGGUUCCACCUGGAGCCGUGGGGCUGUGCCGGGGACGCCUCGCUGCAGCCGCAGCUCACGGAGAAGCCACUGCUGGGGCUCCUGCCUCUCCAGUGCAGUGGGGCCGAGCCGAGCUCCACCAGACGGUCUUGUCUGCACCUCCAGAGCCCCCAGGCUUGCUCACUUGGCUCUACUUCUGGGCAGGGUGCCCUGGUAUUGCUGCUGCUGGCACCUGCCGUGCCUUGGAGGGGUCUCCAGUGGGACCUCUGAACACGGCUCUUCCUGUACCUUGAGAGGGCCUGCCCUUCUCUCCGGCCUCCAGCUGCUCUGCCCCAGCCCAGCCUUCAGGCGCCUCAGCUGCCUCCCCCUACCCCGAGCUUGAGUCCGGCUGAGCUGCACGUGGCUUUCCCGGUGGAGCAGACUCUGUCUGAUUUCCCAACGGCCGGCGCCCCCCAGGGCUUGCUCCCCGCCGUGGAACAGCCCCUUGGGGCCAGGUAUGUACUCCAGGCUGUGGCCCGGCAAUGCUGGGAAGUGCCGGUCGUGGCUGCUGCACGUGGGUUGCCGUCUGCGAGAGGCCUGUGGUGUUUGCUGAGGGCGGAGGACACUGAGGACAGAGAAUGGGCGACUAGUCCCAGAUGUGGCCAUGACUGGGGUGCAUCUGGGAAAGCUCGUCCAGGGACACCCCCCACUAUGGCCUGGCGCCUGUCCCGCAGGAAGAGCUUCAGGGCGGUGGGAAGGGGGAGUGGCCCCAGCUGCAGAGGCAAGGAGCGUUGGUGGCCGGGCGGCAAGAGGGACGGGAGGUCAGGCUGACGUCCACUGGCGAGAGCCCUUCAGACGAAGAUAGCAUGGACCCCCUGCCCCAUCCCAACACAGGCCCCAGAUGCCCUGAAACCCCAGGGGCUCAGCCCAAACCAUGAGCAGGAAGCGUUGCUUUACUGAGAAACCAUAAAAAUGUAGAAUUCAACCUCAAACACUGCUGCGGCCGAUACUGAAGGUUAGAAAUGAGCAGGUGGGGCCGGGCGCGGUGGCUCACGCCUGUAAUCCCAGCACUUUGAGAGGCCGA
Long non-coding RNA from Cercocebus atys (sooty mangabey), 1313 nucleotides. RefSeq lists it as uncharacterized. The transcript has 3 exons. Lineage: Eukaryota; Metazoa; Chordata; Mammalia; Primates; Cercopithecidae. The record is from RefSeq and is a predicted model, not a curated record.